CCCUUAGAUGUUCUGGGCCGCACGCGUGCUACACUGAGUAAAUCAAUGGGUAAGGGAACACGAAAGUGCAACCUAAUCUUCAAAUUUGCUCGUGAUGGGGAUCGACGGUUGCAAUUUUCCGUCGUGAACGAGGAAUACCUUGUAGGCGCGUGUCAUCAUCACGCGCCGAAUACGUCCCUGCCCUUUGUACACACCGCCCGUCGCUCCUACCGAUUGAGUGAUCCGGUGAGGCUCUGGGACCUGGACGGAAAGAGCGUUUCGCUCGUUCUGUUUGGGAAACUUGGUCGAACCUUAUCAUUUAGAGGAAGGAGAAGUCGUAACA
RNAcentral lists this ribosomal RNA (322 nucleotides) under uncultured eukaryote. RNAcentral describes it as "partial 18S ribosomal RNA". It matches the Rfam family "Eukaryotic small subunit ribosomal RNA", at positions 1470 to 1796 of the family's 1831-position model. The record is from RNAcentral.